This 3179-nucleotide long non-coding RNA is filed under the name Sorghum bicolor (sorghum). RNAcentral's name for it is "long non-coding RNA (SBIC_LNC016755)". Lineage: Eukaryota; Viridiplantae; Streptophyta; Magnoliopsida; Poales; Poaceae. The record is from RNAcentral.
UUCUGCCUGAGGACUCCAUGCUCCCUCUUCAAGUUCUGGAAGGACCUCAUACAACUGCGAAAACAAAAGGUAGGUGUAUCAUUAACAGUAAUGGAUGAUUAACAAGUCUCGCUCAGAGAGAAAAGUUAGUGCCCAUCACAGACAAAAGGACAACCAGCCCGUGUAAUUGUCAAUAGCCAAGAAGGGCUGAACCGCCGAAGCUAAUCCAAUUGGUUCUAACUGUUAGAAGAAAGAGGAGCAGUAGAGCAUGUGUAGCUAGUACGGUUCCACAUGACACGGCCAAAGCUAUGGGCAUUGGCUGUAUUGGUGCUUUCUGCAAAGUGCCCAUGGGUUGGGUGCUCAAAUAUCAUAUUAAUGGGAACUAGAGUACUUUUACAUGCCCUUUUUUUUUCAAGGGACUGGGGAAUUUGGUUUUAGCAAUCAUCUUAAGAUUGACGACCCAAAGUUACCAGUUCAAAGGCCAAAAAGAAAAUCAUCAUGCAGAUUACAGACAGAGUGAGAGGGAGAUACCCUUCAGCAUUCUCGUCUCCACAGCUAUUCCUGAAUGAGGUGCACUCGUUCUUCAUCCUAGAAGCACCAAUACUGUCACCGGUAGUGUUAUGUUAGGCAUGAAUAGAUCAUACAAAGACAUAAAGUCGUUACGAUGUAAACACAUUAUCAAAAUGUCUAUGUAUCACUGUAUAAUUGUAUCACAUAUUCACAUAUAUAAAACUGUGACAGUAAUAUCACAAUAUCUUCUAUACAACAUUGUUACCUUGAUAUAUGCAUGAACACAACUUUUAGUUUGUAACGUACAUUUUUACGAUGAGACUGAUCAAACUAAAAUUUGCCUUUGCAUUAGCAGAUCUCAUCAAAACAAAAUAUGCUACACAUUUCUGAGCAUUGUUACCUACCAUUUUGCCAGGCUAUGCAUUUCAAAUCAACCAAAAAUAUUUAAGCAUCCAGGCAAAUGUAAGAAGUAACAGAUGGGGAUGAAGACUUGUUCAGGUUCUUCGCCUAUCCAGGCUAUAUAAAGGGUAGAAAAAAAUAAGCUAUUUUUUAUUCCAUUUUAGUUUUGUCUUCCGUGUUGGUUUCUUGGCAAAAUAAAUUAGGUCUGAUGAUAGAUUAGUUGAACACUUGUUAAUAUUUGAGAGUUAACAGUAUAGGUAACACAUGAACAAGAACAACAGUUAAAACCUAAACAUUAUCAUUUUCAUUUCCAACCCAUGAAAACGACCUGGGUAUAUUUGGCUCUCCUCCACCUGGCAGUGGUUUUCAAAUCUAAGUUGGAUCAGUUGUUAGAGAAAGUGGGAUUUCUCUCCCCCACCAAAGAGGUGACCAACAUUUAUAAUACAUUUGCCUAAAGGCCAAACAAGUCCAACUCAACCUCUAAAGUCCAUUGUCAAUAGUUCUAUCACAUAGCCAUGCAUGAUAUAUGCAGUCAAACAAAGACAAGCAACUAUAUGGAUGGACCAACCUACAACAGCUUCCUUUUAAUUGCUGCAUGUUUACAUCCCAUCUACUGAAAUCUCUAGGGUUCUUCUCCCUGCACGGUGUUGUUAGAUUACCAACAAAACUUGAUGUCAGUGAACAUGAAAACAGAACAAAGUGUUGUCCUAGUUUAUGACAUCGCAGCUCUCCUGCGCAUUCAAGAAAAAAGACAUCGCCAACACUUACAUAGCUUGCUCAAUAAUUGCCAUUAGCCUCGUUGAGUUCUUGAAGAACAAGGAAACAACUUCUUCUGUAAAAUUAGGGCUUGCUUCAUCCUGCAAGUCCUCAAUCUGACAAAAUUGCUCAUCCAAGUAUCCCUGUUAUUAUAAUAUGGAAAAUCAGCAAACAUUUUAACAGCACAUAUUAAAGUAAGGUAGAUAGCAGAAUUUGGUAAUAAAACCAAUGUGGCCAUGAAGACCUUCGCAUCAGUUUGCCUAGUAAAGGUCCACACUAACAUUUAGUGGAAUUCUAAAUUCUAUAUAAAUAAUGUUGUCACACUUAAUUCAACAUUUUUUGUUUCAGGUUCUUAGCUAUCUGUCAAUUAAUAUGAAACGAUGCAAAUGAUUUCCCCAAAAACACUCUAUUGUACUCCCUGCUCAAUGCUGAGCAGAAGAUAUCACAGAGUAACUAUAGAUAGAAAGGAAUGAGAAGUAGAGUUGCAUAGCCUCCAAAGUGAGUUGUUCUUGUGGUACAUAGUAUAUUGGUAGGUAUACUGUGCAACACUUAACAAAAUGGAAGCACACCAUUGACUGGACCAAAAUGCGAGCAUAAACCUGAUCAAAGAGGCUCUUUUUCAAGGAUGAUGCCUGCUGUUGCAAAUUAGAAUACUCCAUUUAUAAAUGAAUGGCUUCAAGGUAGAGUAGGCACAAAAUGCAUAUGCAACUGGUUGGUCACCUUGCUUGUAAAAUAGUUGGCUACGAGAUCCAUUUAUAUAGCCGAGGAGGCUAUUGCUAUCGUCCAACAUGAGUAAAAGUGCAGAUAUUUCAAAGUAUGAACAACAAAUAUUAGCAUGCCACGUACAGAAGGGAUUUUAUUGCCAAGGUGUGCAACAUCUAUCCACAUUUUGGACAAUGACUUAAACUGCUGUGUAUCUGAUGCUCCUUUGAGGUGCAUGUUGUGCACAUUAGGCCUGAAGAAACAAUAACGGCUCUUCUUUCAACUAAGCAGACUGAUUAGUACAAGAUCCAAGAAGAUUGCCAUUUCAUUGGUUAUCGAUAAGCAAUCCUCCUGAACAAUGUUUAUUAUUACUUGUGAUGAAAUAUUCCUAACAUUUCACAUGGUCAAUAAUACAUUAGCAUCUCAGGUAGACUUUCUGCCUUUCACAAACUCUGAUGUUUCAUCAGCAGAGUUUUUUCCCCAGAUAUUAUUUUAGUUUCUACUUGUUCUGUCCUUUUUGUACUGGGCAGGUUUUCAAUCGCUGAAGAACAAGGAGAUGAUGGAACUUGAAGCAGAGGUACCAAAAGGGUUGGCACUGCAAUUUCACCAGCAGGAAGCAGAACAUGACCAAGAAGUGGAUGGUGUUGGAGCUUAGAAGAUGCAGUCUAUCUUGUGAAGCUGGUUCUGCAAUCUGUCGGCGGAGUUUAAGUAGCUGCUAUUUCGUUGUUUGUUUGAGUAAUGAAAUUAGGGGAUGCCCGUUUGUGGAGAAAAAAACUCUGAGCUGUUGUUCACAGAGAAAAAUUUAAUGGAAUAGAGGAAUCCUAUAUUGUAAC